RNAcentral lists this long non-coding RNA (128 nucleotides) under Microcebus murinus (gray mouse lemur). RNAcentral's name for it is "JPX transcript, XIST activator conserved region 1 (ENSMICG00000027307.2)". It matches the Rfam family "JPX transcript, XIST activator conserved region 1". The record is from RNAcentral. Lineage: Eukaryota; Metazoa; Chordata; Mammalia; Primates; Cheirogaleidae.
CAGAGAGUGGAAAACCUAAGAUGGCGGCGUUUGCAUUCAAUUGUUGCAUGCUUACCCGGGGUGGCCAGGCGGCCAAAGCAUGAAUCUACUAACAAAAGUCUAGAAACUCGUCAGUUUUUGUGUUGUGU